AUGAGCUUCGAGGACCUUGAGGCGGGAGUCGUGCGGCCGGCGCCGCUGCCGCUGGCGCAGGUGGUGGCGCACGGCGUGUUCCAGAUCAACACCAAGGUGGUGGCGCUGCGGCACCUCGGCGACGCGCUGGGCACGCCCAAGGACACGCCCGCCCUCCGCGUCCGCCUCCGCUCGACGCGGGCCGAGGCCGCGUGGCUCGCCAGAAUCACGUCGUACAACCUCAAGCAAGCCGCCGCGGCCGGCGACGGAGGCACCGACGGGUCGACAUCCCCCUGCUCGAAGCUGGCCAUGGACUUCGAGGCGGCCCUGAGCGAGCUGCAGAAAGUCCAGCAGCGGAUCGUGGCGGCUGAGCGACAGGUCACCUCCUGUGCUGCUGCCGCCACUUCUGCUGGUGGUACAUUUGCCGGCCAUGAGCAGUGCACCGGGCAAACGCAGCAGCAGCUGCAACAGCAGCUUCUGUCGCAUGGAACGGAAGUCGAGGAGCUCGAGGCUGUCGUGGACGAGAGGGAGCGGGGGAUACGGGAGACGGAGCAGGUGAUCACCGAGAUCAACGAGAUCUUCAGGGACCUCUACGCGCUGGUCGACGAGCAGGCCUGCAGCGUCGACCACGUCGUGUGCGACAUCGAGACCGCCGCCGCGACGACAGGCCAGGCGGAAGAAGAGGUCUCUGCAUUGGCAGUGGAGGCCGAUCGGGUAUCGAGCUCCAGCUCGAGCUCGUCGACGAAGUACUUGCUGAUGUUUGUUGUUGGCAUCUUCUUGUUCAUCUUCCUGUUGGUGCUUGUAGGGUAG
RNAcentral lists this ribosomal RNA (789 nucleotides) under Triticum aestivum (bread wheat). RNAcentral's name for it is "partial small subunit ribosomal RNA". Lineage: Eukaryota; Viridiplantae; Streptophyta; Magnoliopsida; Poales; Poaceae. The record is from RNAcentral.